RNAcentral lists this long non-coding RNA (521 nucleotides) under Pan troglodytes (chimpanzee). Its description in RNAcentral is "lncRNA (ENSPTRG00000053225.1)". Lineage: Eukaryota; Metazoa; Chordata; Mammalia; Primates; Hominidae. The record is from RNAcentral.
GCGCGGGGGUGGUGGCUUGAGCAUGGCGGGCUGCAGGUCCCGAGCCCUGCCCCACAGGUAGGCGGCGGAGGCCCCGCGAGAAUUCCAGCGUAUUGUGGGCGGGCCCGCACUGCGGGAGAGACCCGGCGCACUCUCCGCAGCUGCUGGCCCGAGUGCUGAGCCCCUCACUGCUGGGGCCGGCGGCGCUGCCGGCCGCUCGGAGUGCGGGCCUGCUGAGCCCGCGCCCACCCAGAACUCGCUGGCCCGCGAGUGCAGCGCGCAGCCCCUGCUCCCGCCCGCGCGUCUCCCUCCACAUCUCCGGGCAAGCAAAGGGAGCCGGCUCCAGCCUCGGCCAGCCCAGAGAGUGCCUCCCACAGUGCAGAGGCGGGCUGAAGGGCUGGCUUCUCAAGCGUGGCCAGAGUGGACGCCGAGGCCGAGGAGGCACCCACAGUGAGCAAGGGCUGACAGCACGUUGUCACCUCAGUACCACAGAAAUUGAAAACAGACAGGAGACUACUGUAUAUCAGUUCAAGGCCGAGUGA